CGGACGUCUUCGGCGUUCGAA
Molecule: small nuclear RNA, 21 nt
Filed under: Arabidopsis thaliana (thale cress)
Lineage: Eukaryota; Viridiplantae; Streptophyta; Magnoliopsida; Brassicales; Brassicaceae
Description: snRNA_06682
Source: RNAcentral